UCGCGCAACCUUUGCAAUACACGCAAGUGUGACAGGGCUAUCCCGAGUGCCGUCCGCUGAGGAUGGCUUUUACCCAGUCUAGAAAGCUGGGGGAAUAAGGAGAGGGCAAGUCUGGUGUCAGCCGCCGCGGUAAUACCAGCUCUCCGAGUGGUGUGGAUGUUUAUUGGGCCUAAAGCAUCCGUAGCUGGCCAAGUUAGUCCCCUGUUAAACCCACCGAAUUAAUCGUUGGCGUGCGGGGGAUACUGCUCGGCUAGGGGGCGGGAGAGGCAGACGGUAUUUUCGGGGUAGGGGUGAAAUCCUAUAAUCCCGGGAAGACCACCAGUGGCGAAGGCUGUCUGCUAGAACGCGCCCCGAGGUGAGGGAUGAAAGCUGGGGGAGCGAACCGGAUUAGAUACCCGGGUAGUCCCAGCUGUAAACGAUGCAGGCUAGGUGUUUGGACGGCCACGUGCCGUUCUAGUGCCGCAGGGAAGCUGUUAAGCCUGCCGCCGUGGGGAGGUACGGUCGCAAGAUUGAAACGUUAAAGGAAGUUCGGCGGGGGAGG
This 541-nucleotide ribosomal RNA is filed under the name uncultured archaeon. Its description in RNAcentral is "bacterial SSU rRNA". It matches the Rfam family "Archaeal small subunit ribosomal RNA", at positions 339 to 877 of the family's 1478-position model. The record is from RNAcentral.